RNAcentral lists this unclassified non-coding RNA (220 nucleotides) under plant metagenome. RNAcentral describes it as "partial contains small subunit ribosomal RNA, internal transcribed spacer 1, and 5.8S ribosomal RNA". The record is from RNAcentral.
UUUCCGUAGGUGAACCUGCGGAAGGAUCAUUACAGAGUUCAUGCCCUCACGGGUAGAUCUCCCACCCUUGAAUAUUUAUACCUUAGUUGCUUUGGCAGGCCGUGGAAACACCAUGGGCUCCGGCUUAUGCGUGCCUGCCAGAGGAAACAAACUCUGUUUUAAGUGAUGUCUGAGUACUAUAUAAUAGUUAAAACUUUCAACAACGGAUCUCUUGGUUCUG